GUUUAUUUUCCCCCCUCCCCUAAAUCCCCAAUUUUACCGGAAAUCCUUUAUUUUUUUCCCCAUUUGAUUUUCCCCAAUUUUGCCCGAAAUCCCUAAAAAUUUUUCUAUUCCUCUGCAUCAUCGUGCUGCAUCUCCGUCGGAGAAGGUUGUGAAUCCAUUGUUUGAGAAGCAUCCAAAGCAAUUCGGUAUUGGAGGAGCUUUACCUCCAAAGAAGGAUCUGCACCAUUUUGUGAAGUCGCCUAAGGUUGUUUGCAUUCAAAGGAAAAAAAGGAUCCUUAAGCAGAGGUUGAAAGUCCCACCAGCACUGAACCAGUUUACAAAGACUCUUGAUAAAAACCUUGAGAACAUCACAACUGGAACUGUAAACAUUGGGAGUGAAGACUGUGCAGAACUUGUUGAGAAUACUUCUCUUCAAUUCCAGUCCUUCAUUUCAUUAACGCGUGACUAUCUUGCUCGUCUUCUUCUCUGGUGCAUGCUGUUGGGGCACUACCUUAGAGGCCUCGAGUAUUGGUUGGAGCUAAUGGAGCUUCUAUUGUUGACAAGCAGUCCCGGCAAUAAUAGUUGUGGUGAUGAGCAGGUUGUUUAGAAUUGCACUUUGAUUCCAGUGCUACCAUCUGUAUAUAUGUGUGUAAAUCGGCAUAUCGACUAACUUCUUUUACUCGAAGAGGAAAUUAUCCGCGGACUACUUUUAUCAACUUUGGAUGAUCCUAAUAGAAAACUUUGCACAGCAAUCAGUAUGACUGUAGCAGCUAUUGCAGUCUACAACUGGCCAAAAAGUUGGCCAGACUUGUUGCCGUUCCUCCUAAAGUUGAUUGGUGAUCAAACUAGCAUGAAUGGAGGAGUUGAGAAGGAAAGAGGAUGCAAUAGCACGAGGCAGGUGACCAAGAUUCCGUUUAACAAUUUUCUUUAUUGCUGGAACAAGUCUUAACCAAGAUCAAGAUCAAAGUACUUCAUUAAGUUAUAUAUGCAGGCACUGCAAUACUUUGGCUUCAUCUAAGCUUGAACCAACCCUCUGUUGUAUAUUGUUUCUUCUUCUUUUUUAAUCUUUUUCCUUUGACUAAUGAGAGGUGAUGAUGAUUUGGCAUUAUUUUCUCACUAGGAUGAAUUUUGUUUUAGAAAUUGUAAAUACUUUGUGUGCCUGUGUGUGUUUUUUUAUGUAUUAAAUUUAAAUUCAUUAAUUUUUAUAUUUAAUUUUGGAGUUUAAAUUUUAA
Gossypium arboreum is the source of this 1211-nucleotide long non-coding RNA. RefSeq lists it as uncharacterized. The record is from RefSeq and is a predicted model, not a curated record. The transcript is spliced from 7 exons. Lineage: Eukaryota; Viridiplantae; Streptophyta; Magnoliopsida; Malvales; Malvaceae.